Trichechus manatus latirostris (Florida manatee) is the source of this 106-nucleotide small nuclear RNA. NCBI's taxonomy places the organism in Eukaryota, Metazoa, Chordata, Mammalia, Sirenia, Trichechidae. The record is from RefSeq and is a predicted model, not a curated record.
GUAUUGGCUUUGGUAGCACAUAUACUAAAAUUGGAAAGAUACAGAGAAGAUUAGCAUGGCCCUUGUACAAGGAGGACACAUAAGUUGGCAAAUGUUCCAUAUUUUA